RNAcentral lists this transfer RNA (71 nucleotides) under Protopterus annectens (West African lungfish). Its description in RNAcentral is "tRNA-Ser". It matches the Rfam family "tRNA". Rfam says of the family: Transfer RNA (tRNA) molecules are approximately 80 nucleotides in length. Their secondary structure includes four short double-helical elements and three loops (D, anti-codon, and T loops). Further hydrogen bonds mediate the characteristic L-shaped molecular structure. tRNAs have two regions of fundamental functional importance: the anti-codon, which is responsible for specific mRNA codon recognition, and the 3' end, to which the tRNAs corresponding amino acid is attached (by aminoacyl-tRNA synthetases). tRNAs cope with the degeneracy of the genetic code in two manners: having more than one tRNA (with a specific anti-codon) for a particular amino acid; and 'wobble' base-pairing, i.e. permitting non-standard base-pairing at the 3rd anti-codon position. Lineage: Eukaryota; Metazoa; Chordata; Ceratodontiformes; Protopteridae. The record is from RNAcentral.
AAGAAAGUGGCAGAGUGGUUAUGUGGUUGGCUUGAAACUAACUUAUAGGGGUUCAAUUCCCUUCUUUCUCG